GGAGUUAGCCGGUGCUUCUUCUGUGAGUGAUGUCCUUCCUGCCGGCUAUUAACCCGCAGGCCUUCUUCCUCACUGAAAGUGCUUUACAACCCGAAGGCCUUCUUCACACACGCGGCAUGGCUGGAUCAGGGUUGCCCCCAUUGUCCAAUAUUCCCCACUGCUGCCUCCCGUAGGAGUCUGGGCCGUGUCUCAGUCCCAGUGUGGCUGAUCAUCCUCUCAGACCAGCUACGGAUCGUCGCCUUGGUGAGCCGUUACCUCACCAACCAGCUAAUCCGACAUAGGCUCAUCCGAUAGCGCGAGGCCCGAAGGUCCCCCGCUUUCCCCCGUAGGGCGUAUGCGGUAUUAGCCUGGGUUUCCCCCAGGUUAUCCCCCGACUACCGGGCAGAUUCCUAUGCAUUACUCACCCGUCCGCCGCUCGCCACCAGGGAGCAAGCUCCCCGUGCUGCCGCUCGACUUGCAUGUGUUAGGCCUGCCGCCAGCGUUCAAUCUGAGCCAGGAUCAAACUCUGA
Molecule: ribosomal RNA, 509 nt
Filed under: uncultured bacterium
Lineage: Bacteria
Description: partial 16S ribosomal RNA
Source: RNAcentral